RNAcentral lists this small RNA (62 nucleotides) under Salmonella enterica. RNAcentral describes it as "partial RtT sRNA". It matches the Rfam family "RtT RNA", at positions 65 to 130 of the family's 130-position model. Rfam says of the family: This family represents a bacterial cis-regulatory element known as RtT RNA. RNAcentral also lists the same sequence under 1 other name. The record is from RNAcentral. Lineage: Bacteria; Pseudomonadati; Pseudomonadota; Gammaproteobacteria; Enterobacterales; Enterobacteriaceae.
ACGUUGCUUUAGCAACGGCCCGAAGGGCGAGGCGAAGCCGAGUCAUCCUGCACGACCCACCA